AUUUUUUGGUGUGCUACACCUGCAGCUGACGACCUGCAUGACAGCGCACGGAGCUACACCUUCACCAUCCGUCGAUGUCUCCUAAAGUGAGAUCAGCAUAUGAGGCACCACUUCCAACAAGACAUCGCCGGUCUUCUUUCGGGUUGACCCAGGAGGCCACCGCAUCGCAAAAGAAGAUAAAAUCCUGUCGGGGAAGAAGAAGAAGAAGAAGAAGACGUGAUCCAACUUGCAUAAAAGGAAGUACACCUGGCAACGGGGACGGACACUUUUGACAUCACACGCUUUGGAGGCGGCGCUCAGGCAACACUGCUAUCUAAACCUGCUUAACUAUUAGAAUGAUCUUUAUUUGACACAUCCUUAGGUAAAACAUAACUUCAUGUUCAUAUCCAUGUGAGGAGACAUUUUUAACUAGCAUUAACCGACAAUAACCACCAGAAAAAAGUCUUGCAUGCACACAACACUAAAAGGAAGCCCAUUACAGCCAAUAGAGGGGAAACAACCUCUUGCCUACAUUGUUGUCAUGGCAACACGCUUAGCUCACAGACAAGAUAC
This is a long non-coding RNA of Entelurus aequoreus (snake pipefish), 552 nucleotides long. RefSeq lists it as uncharacterized. The transcript is spliced from 3 exons. NCBI's taxonomy places the organism in Eukaryota, Metazoa, Chordata, Actinopteri, Syngnathiformes, Syngnathidae. The record is from RefSeq and is a predicted model, not a curated record.